This 422-nucleotide ribosomal RNA is filed under the name uncultured bacterium. RNAcentral describes it as "partial 16S ribosomal RNA". It matches the Rfam family "Bacterial small subunit ribosomal RNA", at positions 362 to 776 of the family's 1533-position model. The record is from RNAcentral.
UCUUCCACAAUGGGCGCAAGUCUGAUGGAGCAACGCCGCGUGAGUGAAGAAGGUUUUCGGAUCGUAAAACUCUGUUGUAAGGGAAGAACAAGUACAGUAGUAACUGGCUGUACCUUGACGGUACCUUAUUAGAAAGCCACGUCGAACUACGUGCCAGCGUCCGCGGUAAUACGUAGGUGGCAAGUGUUGUCCGGAAUUAUUGGGCGUAAAGCGCGCGCAGGCGGUCCUUUAAGUCUGAUGUGAAAGCCCACGGCUCAACCGUGGAGGGUCAUUGGAAACUGGGGGACUUGAGUGCAGAAGAGGAAAGUGGAAUUCCAAGUGUAGCGGUGAAAUGCGUAGAGAUUUGGGGGAACACCAGUGGCGAAGGCGACUUUCUGGUCUGUAACUGACGCUGAGGCGCGAAAGCGUGGGGAGCAAACAGG